CGUCAGGGAUGAACGCUAGCGGCAGGCUUAACACAUGCAAGUCGAGGGGCAUCGGGAGUAGCAAUACUUGCCGGCGACCGGCGCAAGGGUGCGUAACGCGUGAGCAACAUGCCCGUAUCAGGGGGAUAAUCCAUGGAAACGUGGUCUAAUACCCCAUAGUAAUUAUGUAAGGCAUCUUAUAUAAUUUAAAGCUUUGGUGGAUACGGAUUGGCUCGCGUGACAUUAGCUGGAUGGUAAGGUAACGGCUUACCAUGGCUACGAUGUCUAGGGGUUCUGAGAGGAAGGUCCCCCACACUGGAACUGAGACACGGUCCAGACUCCUACGGGAGGCAGCAGUGAGGAAUAUUGGACAAUGGAUGGAAAUCUGAUCCAGCCAUGCCGCGUGCAGGAAGACGGCCCUAUGGGUUGUAAACUGCUUUUGUAUGGGAGCAAUAAGGGCUACGUGUAGUCCGAUGAGAGUACCAUACGGAUAAGCACCGGCUAACUCCGUGCCAGCCGCCGC
Molecule: ribosomal RNA, 502 nt
Filed under: uncultured bacterium
Lineage: Bacteria
Description: bacterial SSU rRNA
Rfam family: Bacterial small subunit ribosomal RNA
Source: RNAcentral